UCCGCGUCUUUCUCUUUUGUCCCAUCCUCCAUUUUGAUGUCAUCGUGGUUUGUAGUAAGAAAAGUUUUGCUGCUGUGUCUUUGAAAUUGAAUUGGUAAUCGUAUAUAAUUCAUAACAAUUGUUUCGGGAAAGCAUUUUUCGUUGUAUUGUUUUGUGAGAAACAACAAAAAUGAGCUACGGAAGACCUCCUCCACGGAUUGAGGGAAUGGUUUCCUUGAAGGUUGAUAAUUUGACCUACCGAACAACGCCAGAGGAUUUGCGUCGUGUUUUCGAGAGAUGUGGCGAAGUAGGUGAUAUUUAUAUUCCGCGCGAUAGAUUUUCUCGAGAGAGCAGAGGAUUUGCAUUUGUGAGGUUUUAUGACAAGCGCGAUGCAGAAGAUGCAUUGGACGCAAUGGAUGGCCGACUUUUGGAUGGAAGGGAGCUUCGAGUCCAAAUGGCUCGAUAUGGAAGACCGUCGUCUCCAUAUCGCCGUCAUAGCCGCAGAAGGAGGUCUCGGUCUCGUUCUCGUCGUCGUUCUCGCACCAGGAGCCGCUCUAGGUCUCGUUCUCGCCAUUCACGCUCAAGGUCUCGCCGCCGUUCAUACACACGUUCUCGCAGCCGUUCCAGGUCACGCUCUGAUAGCAAGAGCUCUCGUGGGAAAUCUCAUUCCCGCAGUAAAUCACCACGUGAAAGCAAAAGCAAGUCACGAUCCAAGUCGAAGUGAACAGGGUGAUGGUGGCUAAGGGAGUGGUUUCAGCACUUAUAUUUAGUGGAAUAAAGACGGAAGCAGACUUCUGCAUUUUUGAAAGGGUGGGCGGUAGUGAUCGAGCGAGAGGCAGUGGCAGAUUGCUGUGUUGGGGUUCGGUGUUGCGGUGGCAGAGUAGCAGUGCAGUUGCGGGGCACAUGGCAGUCAGGGGUAGCGAGAGCAGUUGCGGGUAGCUGAUGGCAGUGCGUGCCGACGUGUGUGUGUGUGGUGGUGGCGAGUAUCAUUCAUUCCCACCGAACCAGUACCAAUUUUAACUAUGAGCAUCCAUGUUUCCCUGUUGAUGUUCCCAGUUUCGGUCUUGAAACGUGCCGUAAUGUUCCUUAUUUAUACCAGCCUGCGUCUCCAGUCAACUGGUACGUUGGUGCUUUCAGAGAGGACCCCCCCCCCAUUAAACAUCGCAAAUUGCACCUAUUUUAUGUGGCUCAUUUCACUACUUUAUAAAGUUUUCCCUUCUGUUACAUAUUCUUUGGGAUUUGGUUGACCCUUCUGUUUUAUUUAUUAAAUCUUAACAUUUUAGGCCCUCUGUUUCCUGGCGUAGUAAACCGUUAAUUCGUUUGAAGGCAAUGAGUCCCUGGGGCCCCUUGCAUUUUUCAUUUUUCGUCUGCAAGUAAACCAAACCACCUUUAUUCGUCAGUAAGCCAUUCUUGAUUUUAUUCCCUGCUUUUGUCUUUGCAUGGAUAUAAUUUUGGCUGCCACCAUCCCUAAUAUGUCGGAAUAUUUUACUGUUGAAGAGUUGCAUCUCCGAGCUGCUGAUUGCAGUCCAUAAGCAGAAGGUAGGAUAGGUGUCGUCACUGAUCAGCGCAUCUACUAAUACUGCAUUCGUGUACUGUUAUACUCUUGUGGGAGCUGGUAAAUAUGUUUUCUGUAAAGUGGAAAUUACCAAAUUGCAAUAUGCUUACAGUUUUCUUCUCAGUCGUACAAAGUGCAGGUAAGUGGGUGAUUGGAGUAUGACAUUGUUUUAAAUUGCUUUACUUAUGUUUAUAUUUUUCUAAUUGCAGUUGAUGUUUAUUACUUCUGGCCUUGUGUAGUGAGGAUGCCAAACUGGCAGAUGUAAUGACACCUGGCUCCAACUCAUUCACUAAGGACAGAAUUAUUGUGUGCAGCGAUUGCCAUUAGCAAGUGUAUAAGCUCCAAUCCAGGUGGAGACAUGAAAACAUUUCUUGCUCUCCCCUUUGGUUGUAAUGCAAAGCUGUAGUGAGCUUCCCAUUUGUCCUAUGUGUUAUUACUUUUUACAGAGAAAAAGUAUUUGUAAGUUCAUAUAAUGAUUUCAAGGUAUAAUUUGGCUUACAGUUUGAACAUGCGCAUAGAGUUGUCCCUAAAGGUUGAUCAUCGCUAUUAAAAUUGUAUUGGCAGUCUUUUUCAAGGGUGAAUGUAAGUUACAUUGCUUGUUUAUAUUAUGUGUAGUUUAGCCCAGGCAUAUAUAUACAUAUACCACUUUAAAUUGGCUUGUGUUUUGUUUAACUUUUGAAAUCUCUUAACCUUGCAUGUUGUGCAGUGUUGAAUAUUGUUUAUCUUUGAAAAACACUUGGUGACUUUUUUCUCUCUUUUUCUUCUUCCAAAAUCAAUCACAUAUAUUUUGAUUCAGCAAAAUACAUUAAAAAGAACAAAGACCGACUUACAUAACAUUCUUAAAAUUUGGCUGAAGGAACCUUCACACUCCUUUGACUUUCAAAGUUCAGCAUUGCUAUUUCUUAUUUAAUCAUACAUCACAAUGCUUUUGUAGUAAAUAUCUAUGAAGGAACAUCCCACUAAUUGUAUAUGUCCAAUAUAUCCUCAUAUUUCUGAAGCCCUUUUCAAUAUGUAACUAAAAAUUUUUUACCUUGUGUAAUCAGCAAGUGCUGCUUUGUCAAGAACUGGCAUCUGAAUCAAAUCAAACUUUCUUUAUUUUGAUGAUGGGUCAUGUUUAGUUAUACAGGCUGCUGCUCUCAUUCACUGUGGUACAGUGUUCACACAUUUUAAUAUAGCUUCAGUAAUUUUACCCCUUUUGGAAAACUGCAAAUUUGUACUUUAAUUAUACUGCAUCCUAGCACAACUAGACUGUAAUCUUCAAGUGUGAAGAUCACCAAAAUGUGACAUCUAUUCAUGCCAGACAUGCAUGAAUUUUUGCACAUGACCAAGAGGCACACGUACGUACACUUAGCCUCUCACUACUUUCAUCAUAUUCAUAAAUUGUUUCUGAAAGAUCAGUGCUCGGAACAUGGUAAAGUAAAUCAGCACAAAAUCAUUCAUUAUGAUGGUGAACAGGUUCCUGAAAUGCCUCUGAUUCACAGUAUACCGGAAGGGCUUGUACAUUAAGAGUGUUUUGAAAUGGUUGACACAUUCACUGCUUUCCUGAAAAUCCACCAUUCUUUCAAAAGGUUCUACAUUUUGAACAGUGCUGGUUUUAUCUGCAUAAGCUGCUGAAUUUAUAAGAUGUUCAAAUUCCACUGGCUGAGUGUUACUGUCCUGACUACAAUGUGCCAAAUCACUCAUUUCUGCUCUAGUAAUGUGGAUGCAAAAUGUAUAGCACAGUAUGACUCAAUAUCUAUCAACUAGGUGUUUUUCAAAGUGGUGUUUGCAUAACUAUAUAAAGUGUAAACAGUUUUCAUGUAUGCAUGUUUUUAUAUAUUUCAGAUAACCCAGGAAAGUGUUCUCUGACUUUGAACUAUAUGUAGUAUUAGUAAAGCUUCUCACAAACAUCAGAGCAAUUGUGUUGAAAGAAGCAUUAGACAGUCUUUUCUUUGAGUAUUCUUGACCUUUUUUAGAUGGGAAUAAGGAAUUCAAUUUGUUCUGUGACAUGCAACAGUUCUGGUUUGUUACAUUGCACAAUGCUGAGAAAGUUUCAAAGUAUACCUGGACCUAUACUGAUCUAUAUUUAUUAAACUGACCAUAGGCCAAACGCUGGUGUGUAACUUUUCAUUUGCCAAAGCUGGUAAAAUGGGUACAGAUCAUUUAUCACUUGCUAAAUAUUUGAUUUGAAAUAAUCAUUGAUGUAUACAGACAGAGGAUGUUGCACUGUGUAUACUUGCAGCAGCUGAUCAUCGGAAGGUGGAUGAAGCGUUUUGUGGGCCCAAGACCACGACAAGGUUUUUAUGGUAUGAGUUGCAUUGCUUUGCUGCCAGAAUUAUGGCACAAUGGAGGUUUAUCUCAUUAAAUUUGUAAUUUAUUUCCUGUGGGUUAGAGAACAAUGUGAAAAUUGCAACAAAAGUUUAUUUACUCCGAGUUGUGGAAGGGUGCAGCUUUGAAAACAUUGAUACUUGGUGUACCUGCAUUUUUGUGUUCAAUCUUGGUCAUAGAAAGUUUUUCUGUAUUGCUAGAAUAAAUUUACAUUUUUAUUUUAAUCAAAUGUAUGAUGUCAGGGUACGUAAACAUCAAGAAGCUAAGUAGGAUUUGAGGUUUUCACAUUACAACCCAGAAGAUUGCAAUUAUCAAGAACCUACAUUCCAAGAACUUCCGACUAGUGUUUUUUUGUUACCAUUUUUAGUAAAUAAAAUUUAAUUUGCUAGGAAA
This is an RNA transcript of Zootermopsis nevadensis, 4234 nucleotides long. It is a transcript of the gene named SR family splicing factor SC35, with no coding region annotated. NCBI's taxonomy places the organism in Eukaryota, Metazoa, Arthropoda, Insecta, Blattodea, Termopsidae. The record is from RefSeq and is a predicted model, not a curated record.